Molecule: long non-coding RNA, 316 nt
Organism: Mastomys coucha (southern multimammate mouse)
Lineage: Eukaryota; Metazoa; Chordata; Mammalia; Rodentia; Muridae
Exons: 3
Source: RefSeq, a predicted model, not a curated record
UGGACAUCCGAGCUGAUUCCUUGUUGCUUUGAAAAGAUGCAGUGGUUACACCUGCUGCCCUGGUUUACAUUUGCACCAACUGUGACACAGCCAGACAGUGCAGAGCUUCCUCCACCUUUUAUUCUUAACUAGAAUUUGAUCCCUUGAUGGAGAAUCCUAUGGAAAGUUACCAACUCUAUUCUAGGAACCCAAGGUUUGGGGGAUCAAAUUCAGGUUGUCAGCUUUGGCAACCAGCCUCUUACUCAGCUCAUCCAUAUCAGCAACCCUACAGUUUUAGUGUAAUAACAUUAAGCAAUAAACCAUCUUUUACCUUUGC